CACAUAGUUUCAUAUAUGUUUAUGAGACAUUUGGUAGACAAAAGUUCGUUUGUUUAUUUCAAUCUAAACGGGCAUAUUUAGAUUCUACAAAAGAAGUUCAGAAAUGUUUCCUAAAAUAAAAUAUGUACAUAUUCACAACUUUCUAAUGUUUAUAAAAACGUUUUUAAAAUAUUUUAAAAUUAAAUAAGUAAAAAACUACGUUCUAAAUCUAGCACGGGUAUUUUAAAGUCAUUCCAAGAAACACAGAGGCGCAUCUAUAUUUAUGUAGCUGUAAACUGACUGCUAGCCUGGUGAGUUCAGAGUUUAUGAGUCCCGGGAGUGCUGUUAAAUGCACAGAAAUGCUUGGGAAAUAUUUUUAUGGACCAAGAUUAAUGCACUUUUGCACCUCACUUAUUAAAUCCGUCAUAACAUUGUGUGUAAUUUCAACAUAGUAGCUACUAUUUUUUGAUUUGAAGACAUAAAUUUCAAAUAUUAUAUUUUUGAUUUGGAAACUGAACAGAAGACAUAAAUCUUAAAAGAAAGAAUCUAUUGGAAAUGCCAGAAAAACUUUAAUAAAUGAUUACCCAAGUUACUUCUGAUGUCGAUCAUAAAUUAGAAGAGUAUUGCAAUUAUUAUAAACAAAAUUUGAUAUCUAGGGUUGUAUUAGAAUAUUUGGAAGAUUUUCUGACACCUUUUCGACUUGUGUGUAUACAAAUAUCUAAACAAUGCAAAGGUUAAGGCGCCAAUAUUUUCCGAAAGAACAAAAAAUUAUUUGAUUUUGUUUUGUUCCCUGAAUGAAAAGAAGCGGAGUCGAAUGUUUGGAGUGAGCGGCUUGUAAUCCGCUGAUGAGAGACAUGCUAAUAAAUACUUUACUUAAACAAAACAAAAACCGGUUUUGGGUCUACGAAAACCCCCAAGAAUCGAUUAUGGAACGAAAAUAAAUGUUUAUUGAAUGCAAACAGCAAUAUAAAUUAUGAAAUUUAACAUUUCUUGCUACCUUAUUUGCAUUGGCGCCAAGAAAAAGUCUCAAAAAAUGCAAAAAGUUAAAUUUAUGGUUUUGCGUCAGACGGAAUUCCGAACGAAACCAAAAGAGAUAAUAAUAAUUAUAGCAACAGUUAUCGAUUACUGAUCAGUAUCUAUAGUCAUUUGACACUUACCUGAUCUUGACAAAAGUAGCCGAAUCCAAUGAUGCCAGCAAUGGCCAGAAAGAGACAAAAUACAAUAAUUGUUCGUAUUUUGGAUCGUGGUUCCAUUUUCUUGAUUUCAUAAACACCGCUGGGCAGUAAUAAAGCAAAAUCACUAUCAACUUGUACGGAGACGUUUUUAUGCAUAUCCACGGGCAUGUUCCAUAGGGCCUCAAUUUAGUUUACCGCGAAUUUGGAAAUAAUAAAAUCCACAUUGGUACCAUUCAUGCCCCUUCAACACCGAACCGAUUAACAUUUACGUAACCCAAGCAGACGCCAGUCAUUGUCCGAUAACGAUUGUCGCUCACAA
Long non-coding RNA from Drosophila nasuta, 1473 nucleotides. RefSeq lists it as uncharacterized. The transcript has 2 exons. NCBI's taxonomy places the organism in Eukaryota, Metazoa, Arthropoda, Insecta, Diptera, Drosophilidae. The record is from RefSeq and is a predicted model, not a curated record.